This 856-nucleotide ribosomal RNA is filed under the name uncultured organism. RNAcentral's name for it is "bacterial SSU rRNA". It matches the Rfam family "Bacterial small subunit ribosomal RNA", at positions 30 to 863 of the family's 1533-position model. The record is from RNAcentral.
CGAACGCUGGCGGCGUGCUUACACAUGCAAGUCGGAUGCGAACGGGCUUUUCGGAGCGCAAGUAGCAUGGCAGACGGGUGAGGAGCACGUACCUGACCUGGCUCUUAAUGGGGGAUAGUCCUUCGAAAGAGGGUUGAAUACCGCAUACGCUCAGGAGGGCGACCUUGUGAGGAAAGCUGGCCUCUGCGAGAGCAAGCUGGUGUUAAGAGGGGGGGGUGCGGCCUAUUAGCUAGUUGGUAGGGUAAGGGCCUACCAAGGCGACGAUGGGUAGCUGGUCUGAGAGGAUGAUCAGCCACACUGGGACUGAGAGACGGCCCAGACUCCUACGGGAGGCAGCAGUGGGGAAUUUUGCGCAAUGGGGGCAACCCUGACGCAGCAACGCCGUGUGAGUGAGGACGCCUUUCGGGGUGUAAAGCUCUGUCAGCAGGGACGAACGUGUCGCGUAGAAGAUACGGGGGCAUUGACGGUACCUGGUGAGGAAGCCCCGGCUAACUCCGUGCCAGCAGCCGCGGUAAGACGGAGGGGGCAAGCGUUGUUCGGAAUUACUGGGCGUAAAGCGCGCGUAGGCGGCGAGACAAGUGCCGAGUGAAAGCCCUCGGCUUAACCGAGGAAGGGCUUGGCAGACUGUUUGGCUAGAGUUUCGGAGGGGGAGGCGGAAUUCCUGGUGGAGCGGUGAAAUGCGUAGAGAUCAGGAAGAACGUCAGUGGCGAGGGCGGCCUCCUGGACGAGAACUGACGCUGAGGUGCGAGAGCGUGGGGAGCGAACGGGAUUAGAUACCCCGGUAGUCCACGCCGUAAACGCUUGGGCACUAGGUGUGGGGCCGAGGACCGGGUCCGUGCCGGAGCUAACGCAGUAA